CAUUAAGUGUACCGUAGUGAUUUGGGAUGAGACAAAACGUUGUUUGGAAGAUGAAUAUAAGUGGCCAGAUAAAAUAAAAAUACUAAAGUAAAUUAAGACUAAAUAAUUUUUAUGCUCCAUUUACACCAUUCAGGCUUAAUAUUAAAUUAAUAAUUGUUAAAAAGUAAAAGUGAAAGUAGUAAGCUUUGCACUUGAAACAAAGACCGCAUUAAAGAAAAGACUGCACAAAAGCUUCUUCCUGCUUUGGCAAUGGGCUUUACUUCUGCAGAAGUAGUAAACGCAUUGGCUUUUCAUUUUUGGGGAAUUUUUUUUCUUUUUACCACUAUUUAUUAAUUCUUAGUCCAGGUAAAAUACUGUUGUCUGCAUAACCAUGUUUUGACAUUUAUCACCAUCACAGGAUGUGCACACAUAAAAGUCAUCGAGGCAAGAAAACCAGCCGAUCAGUGCGAGUCGGGUCUCUCUUCGAGAGAUCAAAACUCAGCUUGUCAUCUUGGCUAAUAUUCAUUUACAGGUUUGCUCAAGGAUUGCGGAUUAGACAAAUUGAUAUGAUGCAAGAUGGCAUUGCAAAAAGUUCCAGAACCCUCUCUAAGAUGGCUCGUAUCAUGAGGAAAGUUUGCCACUGUGCUAUAAAACGAUACAGACGAAGACAUGGACAAAUGAUUGGAAGUGCUCGAGAAUUUGCUGUUCUUGAUGAAAGUAACUUCCGUCAUAAACGAAAGUAUGGACGAGGGAGAGCAUCAACAACAUGGAGGCGAAAAAAAUGGGUCCUUGGCAUGCUAGGUGUGAGGGAUAAAUGCA
Molecule: long non-coding RNA, 798 nt
Organism: Carassius auratus (goldfish)
Lineage: Eukaryota; Metazoa; Chordata; Actinopteri; Cypriniformes; Cyprinidae
Exons: 3
Source: RefSeq, a predicted model, not a curated record